UACGUAGGGGGCUAGCGUUGUCCGGAAUCAUUGGGCGUAAAGCGCGUGUAGGCGGUCCGGUAAGUCCGCUGUGAAAGUCGGGGGCUCAACCCUCGGAUGCCGGUGGAUACUGUCGGGCUUGAGUACGGAAGAGGCGAGUGGAAUUCCUGGUGUAGCGGUGAAAUGCGCAGAUAUCAGGAGGAACACCAAUUGCGAAGGCAGCUCGCUGGGACGUUACUGACGCUGAGGCACGAAGGUCAGGGGAGCAAACGGG
This 253-nucleotide ribosomal RNA is filed under the name uncultured bacterium. RNAcentral describes it as "partial 16S ribosomal RNA". It matches the Rfam family "Bacterial small subunit ribosomal RNA", at positions 524 to 776 of the family's 1533-position model. The record is from RNAcentral.